RNAcentral lists this ribosomal RNA (756 nucleotides) under Meloidogyne spartelensis. Its description in RNAcentral is "eukaryotic LSU rRNA". The stretch from base 1 to 172 matches the Rfam family "Eukaryotic small subunit ribosomal RNA", at positions 1658 to 1831 of the family's 1831-position model. The record is from RNAcentral. Lineage: Eukaryota; Metazoa; Nematoda; Chromadorea; Rhabditida; Meloidogynidae.
CUUUGUACACACCGCCCGUCGCUGCCCGGGACUGAGCCAUUUCGAGAAAUUUGGGGACCGUUGAUUUAGCUUUUUAAAGUUAUUUUUAUGGAAACCAAUUUAAUCGCAGUGGCUUGAACCGGGCAAAAGUCGUAACAAGGUAGCUGUAGGUGAACCUGCUGCUGGAUCAUUACUUUAUGUGAUGUUCAACUUUGAAUUUUCGCGACAUUACUGUUGUGUAACGGCUGUCGCUGGUGUCUAGGUGUAGCUGAUACAGUUGUGAACGUCCGUGACUGUAUAUGAGGUGACAUGUUAGGACUCUAUUAAGAGUUUAAGACUUAAUGAGCCUCUUAAUUGAGGACGCCAGCACUCUUUUUUUCUUUAUAUUUUUUAAAAAAACGAAAAUAUUCUAGCCUUGUCGGUGGAUCACUCGGCUCGUGGAUCGAUGAAGAACGCAGCAAACUGCGAUAAUUUAUGCGAACUGCAGAAACCUUGAGCAUAAAAGUUUUGAAUGCAUAUUGCGGCAUUGGUUCACACCCUUUGUUACGUCUGGUUCAGGGUCAUUAUUAUAAAAGCCAAGGCUUUUAUUUUGUAUUGCUUUUUGCUAGCAUUACAAGUGCUAUAUGACUAUUGGUGAUGUUUUUGUUGAUUAAUUAAUAAUCGCCAAUCAACUCAAUUUUUGACCUGAACUCAGUCGAGAGCACCCGCUGAACUUAAGCAUAUCAGUAAGCGGAGGAAAAGAAACUAAACAGGAUUCCCUUAGUAACGGCGAGUGAA